RNAcentral lists this long non-coding RNA (578 nucleotides) under Homo sapiens (human). Its description in RNAcentral is "non-protein coding lnc-USP6NL-7:14". The record is from RNAcentral. Lineage: Eukaryota; Metazoa; Chordata; Mammalia; Primates; Hominidae.
AGACCUUGGCAGAGAGCGCCCUGGGAAAUGCGGAUAUAGAAGGUCAGGAGAACAUCUCUCCUGGUUAUACAGCAUUCCAGGACUCCUCAUCUGUUUUUAAGAGGGAAAUCUGAGUUUUCAAGGAAAGCCGAAUACAGUUGCCAAGUUGCCAGUCAAAGAAACAAUGUCAACACCUGCUCAUAGAGAUGGAAUUCCUAACCCGGAAUAUUGCCCUUGAAUUACAACGAGAAAAAGAACACUUCUUAUUCCUGUAGCACCUCUUCAAGUGAGAUGGCAGACCACCUCAGGAUGGAAAUGUAUUUCUUCAUCCCCCUCUCUACUUCCCUGUGACCUCCUGCAAAUAAGGGAGAGACAAAGAGAAGAGCAGAAGAACAGAAGAAUGGAGUGGCAAAGAGAAGAGAAGGAGUGACUGAACAUUGACAAGACUUUGGUUGGGGAUGGUCAGAGAGGAGAUUAGCUGCUAGACGGCCACACUGCGGAGAAAGAUCAUUUUCCCACUCCAUCCCCCUUCCAGCUCCCCAUCCAUCUCACCAAGAGCCAGCUCCACCACUCAAUAAAACCUUACAUUCAUCUUUCAA